GCAACCAGCACUACCCGAGAGCCUUGGGCCUCGGGGGAGAUGUCAUGUGGGUGCACGGGGCCUGGGUCCCGGUCCCUGCUCUGCUCCUCACUGUUUGACUGACCUUGAUGGGAUCCUGAACGUCUCAGAGGCUGCUCCCCUGUGACAUGGACCCUGGCGACCUGUACACCUGCGUCACCAGGGUUGCUCUGCAGGUCAAAAGAGACAAUGUGGGUGAAGCAGUCCCCUGGCGUCGGGUACCUUUUGUCGGAACUGCUGGGAGCUCUGUGGCCCAGGCCCACCCCAGCUUACUUGCUGACCUUGGCCUCGCCUUCUCUGAGUUUCAGUCUCCCUAUAAAAUUGGAGAUCCCACAGAGAUCUCAGACCCCUGCAGCCCCUGGUCAGCCCAGGGGAACAGACCCCAUGUUUCUUCCCAGCAACACUGCCCACUCAGCGAGGAAGCAGCCACGACGCCCACACUUCCUGCUGGAGCCUGCGCAGAGCCAGAGGUCCCUGGGGUGCGGCACCAUGGGCAGGCAGGGGGAGAUGGUCGGGUCCCCAAAGGCAGCCGGCACCUCCAUCUGGGGCCUGUGUUUUGGCAGCCCUGGGGUGGGUGGCCCCCUUUCCUUCUUGUUCUUUGGUCCCAGAGGAGGGUCCUGCGGCCUGACCAGGCUCUUGCCUUCCCUGUGCUCAGGCCUCAGAAGCCACAGGAACAUGGCCUAGGCAUGGCUCAGCCAGCAGCCCCCUCCCUGACGCGGCCCUUCCUGGCAGAGGCCCCGACAGCACUGGUCCCACACAGCCCCCUGCCAAGCACCCCUGGCCUGAAGCAGCCCCCGACGGCAAGCACAGGCCCGGAGCUGCUGCUGCUGCCUCCUUCCUCCUUCAUGUCCUGCGGGGCGGCUGCACCAGCCAGGGUACGUCCUCCACCACCAGGCCUGGGCACUGGGGCUCUCACUCUGGUCUGGCUUCUGGUGCUCUUUCUCAUGCCACAGCUGUACUUGUUUCUGGAAAACCUUGGCACAGGGAGGCCACUCAUCCAUUUGACAAGCAUAGGUAGCCACUGCACACCAGGUCCAAGGGCCACAGCAGUGAACAGCCAGCCAAGGGCCCUGCCAUCCUGAAGCUUAUAUUCUAGUCAGAGACAAAGGAAAACGCCUGCCUGCAGGCCAGUAGAGUGGCUGCAGAUCACAUAGGGUCCUGCAGGCCACAGUGAGGAGUAGCCUGGGAUUUGAGAAAAGCAGGAAGUCGGGGAAGGGUUUUGGCAGGGAGCACCAUGUCAGGUUUCUGUGCAGGCUGUGGUCACCAUGACCACGUGGUCCAGGCAAGCAGUACUGGUGGCCUGGGCUCAGCGGUUGCCACAGAGGGGACAGGUACUCUCUUGGAGGCAGACGAGGCAGGAUAUGCUCUGAGGGAGUUGCUGAGUGAGGGGAAAGAAGGAAUCCAGGCUGAUGUGGGCUGCUGGCUUGAAUAACUUGGGAAACGGAGUUCUUUGACUGGAAGAAGGAAGUGGGGGUGGGGACUGGUUUGGGGUGAAGUGUCAAGAGUGUUUUGAACCAGGCUCUUGAUGUCAAACUUGAGAGAAAGCAAAUGUUGAGUCUGACCUUCAAGGAAGAGGUCAGGGCCAGAGAUUCAGAAGAAUCUUCAGCACAGGCCGAAGGUAACCCCAGAGCCACUGCGGCCUCUAGGAGGAGAGUACAGGGGAAGGAGAGAGGCGAUGAGGCUCCAAGCGGGGAGCCUGAGUGGGGAUGGCCAGGGGGUGUGAGAGCUCAGUAAUGGAAGUGACAGCUGCUCUAAGGCCACCAAAGCAGCUGGUUCCUGAAAGGGGAUGAGGGGACAGGAAGGAACCAGUUCCUGUGGUGAGUUAGGCCAUGUGGGGCCACUUACCCUGGCUGGAAUGGUUUGAAUGUGGGUUUGAAAGGGUUUUGACCCCUGUCCGGUGAUGGAAGAGGCAAGUCCACUCUCACCAGGAGAGGAGGGUACGGAGAAGGCUGUAGAGCAGUGGCCUCUCACCACUUCUCACUGAUGUGGAAGCUCAGCAAGGUCAUGAGCUUAGAGCAAGGUGGGGGUGGAGGGUUGGGUAAGGCAAGGCUAGGAACAGCUGCUCAGGCAGUGGAGGCACGAGGCGGACUGUGGUAACACGGGGUGCUCCCUGGUUGUUUGUGGGACUUUCCCCUACAGUACCAGGCCCUGUGGUGCAGGGGCAGGCUAGACACUGAGCUGGCACGGCCAGUGCCUGGGAAGGCCAGCUCCUGCAGCUGGGGGCCUGGUCUUCCCCCACCUCUGCAGGGCAGGCAGUGACAAGGACUUGGUGUCCCCCUCCCCAGCUUCCUCUUAGCUUCCUUGCUCAGCAUCCAUCCUUCUUUCCUUUGCAGUUGUCAGCACAGCCGGCUACUCCUAGGGAUAAGCCCCCGGUCCCCUCAUCCCUGGCCAGUGUCCCUGACCCCCAUCUACUCCUUCCUGGGGACUUCUCAGCCACCAGGGCUGGGCCUGGACUUUCAACUGCAGGCAGCCUGGACCUUGAGGCUGAACUUGAGGAGAUCCAGCAGCAACUACUGCACUACCAGACCACCAAGCAGAACCUCUGGUCCUGCCGACGGCAAGCGAACAGCCUGCGCAGGUGGCUGCAGCUGAGCAGAGAGGAGCCGGGGUCUGAGGACCAGGAAGUAGAGCAGCAGGUGCAGAAAGAGCUGGAACAGGUGAGGCCCCAGGCCAUCCCCAGGUGUCCCUGGGGAUGCCCCGGGCUGUGCUCCCUCUCAGCCCUGCCUGUCCCUCCCUGGCCCCAGGUGGAAAUGCAGAUCCAGCUGCUGGCAGAGGAGCUCCAGGCUCAGCGCCAGCCCAUUGGCACCUGCGUUGCCCGCAUCCAGGCCCUGCGGCAGGCCCUGUGCUAGCGUGUUCGCCCCAGGAACGCAGGUGCUGGGCUGUCGGGGAGGCCUCAGGCCACAUCCAGAACAGAACACAAAGUUUUAAGUUUGAUUUUUUUAUUUCAAAAUGUUUUGCAAUUAAAUGAAUUACUGUUC
This 2996-nucleotide small RNA is filed under the name Pongo abelii (Sumatran orangutan). RNAcentral's name for it is "retained intron". Lineage: Eukaryota; Metazoa; Chordata; Mammalia; Primates; Hominidae. The record is from RNAcentral.